Long non-coding RNA from Pieris napi, 703 nucleotides. RefSeq lists it as uncharacterized. The transcript is spliced from 3 exons. The record is from RefSeq and is a predicted model, not a curated record. NCBI's taxonomy places the organism in Eukaryota, Metazoa, Arthropoda, Insecta, Lepidoptera, Pieridae.
AAUGUAUUUGAUUGUCCUCGACGUAUAGGAAAAAGAGGAAAAGUGUCAACAAAACCAUUACAAGUAACCUUUUUAUAAAUCGAUUGGGAAUUCUCCUCUUCCCAACAGGAAAAUUCCAUUUUGCAAACACAAAACUGUGAACAGACGACACAGACCUAAAUACCUUUAUACUGUCAGUGAACAGUGAACGUGAAAUAUUUAACUGAGGGGGCCUAUAAAGAAAUGGCGCCACCUCACUGUCUUCCAUGUGGACCAAACUGCAGGAACGGAUUCUGUGCCCCAUACUGCUAUUAUAGCAGUCUAGCUCCACUGCCCCCACAUCUGCAGACGUACCAGCCACCACCGUACUCACAACCACCAGGACCACCGCAGUAUAAUCCGCAAUAUCCCCCGCAAUACCCAACCUAUCCGCCGACUGAUCUACCAAGCUAUCCACCCACCAAUCCUCCGUACAAUCCACCAUACAUUCCUCCGGCAUACCCGUCACCAUACCCCUCUCACCCUCCGCAUUUACCUGAUGAUUUCAGGAGGUAAAUUAACAUCACCACUUAAUUGGUUGGUAACUUCGUAUUAUUUCUAUCUGGAGUCAACGAAAAUAUAAUUUUGAAUAAAGUAACUGUUUUUAAAUAUCAUCAGUUCAUACAAUUGUCAUAGUCUAUAUAGUUUACAAGAAAACUCAUUGAAUAAAGACGCUUGCAUACUA